RNAcentral lists this ribosomal RNA (229 nucleotides) under uncultured bacterium. Its description in RNAcentral is "partial 16S ribosomal RNA". It matches the Rfam family "Bacterial small subunit ribosomal RNA", at positions 568 to 796 of the family's 1533-position model. The record is from RNAcentral.
CGUGUAGGCGGGAUGAUCAGUCGGUGGUGAAAUCUCUCGGCUCAACCGAGAAUCUGCUAUCGAAACAGUCAUCCUUGAGUGCGGAAGAGGGAAGUGGAAUUCCUGGUGUAGCGGUGAAAUGCGUAGAUAUCAGGAAGAACACCAGUAGCGAAGGCGGCUUCCUGGUCCGCAACUGACGCUGAGACGCGAAAGCGUGGGGAGCAAACAGGAUUAGAUACCCUGGUAGUCC